RNAcentral lists this non-coding RNA (31 nucleotides) under Mus musculus (house mouse). Lineage: Eukaryota; Metazoa; Chordata; Mammalia; Rodentia; Muridae. The record is from RNAcentral.
UCUGCUUGGUUGGCCUCAUUCAAAAGGAUGU